GGAUCUUCCGCAUGGGGGAGCCUGACGAGCACGCCGCGUGAGUGAUGAAGGCCUUCGGGUUGUAAACCUCUUUUGUUCGGGACGAACAUGACGGGGACGAUCUGCCGGUGCCUUGACCGUUCCUGGCCGGAACGCCCGGCUUUCAUCCGUGCCCCCCGCCGCGGAAAUCA
This 170-nucleotide ribosomal RNA is filed under the name uncultured Bacillus sp. Its description in RNAcentral is "partial 16S ribosomal RNA". The record is from RNAcentral. Lineage: Bacteria; Bacillati; Bacillota; Bacilli; Caryophanales; Bacillaceae.